GUUUAUUGAAAGCCAUUUAUUGUUCUCUCCACUCCACUUCAAUACUUUUUUUUUUUUUGGUUUUCCAUCGAUAUUCGGUACCCGCAUUGGAACCAGAUUAUGUUCCGAUUCGCGUCGCGUAAGGCCGCAUUCGGGGGGAAGCGCUCCCUACCAAAGAUUUUUCUAUACCCAGAGCUCAAACUCGAGACCUCUGGUCAAGGGAGGAGCAGUCUCAUCCACUGCACCAUAUCCUUCGUUCUGUGUACGGUCAAAUCAAGGAUAAUGUUACCCCGAUUUCCGAUAAAAAACGAAAGGGAAGCAUGAUUUGACAUGACCUCGGAUAAAGCUGAGGGGUUCCGCGUCUCAAAGCCCGGGGAGGACGAAUGGUGCACCCGGGGCUGGAGACCGUAGAGCAUCGGGUCCGAGAAGAGUGAAGGGCAGAGGCUAAGGAAAAACGGUUAGACACGAUAAGCGGGGAGCCGUAAUAUCCGUCCCCAACCGGAUGUUACGGCGCAAAUCUCACCCGGUAUCGACUGCAUAUCAACGUUUACUAGAAGGAGAAGAUUUUUUACAUUAUUUAGACUUGUACUAGGAUUGAACUCCCCUAAUAUAUAAAGGGGAAAACCUUUUCAUUUUAAAGA
Long non-coding RNA from Nicotiana attenuata, 620 nucleotides. RefSeq lists it as uncharacterized. The record is from RefSeq and is a predicted model, not a curated record. Lineage: Eukaryota; Viridiplantae; Streptophyta; Magnoliopsida; Solanales; Solanaceae. The transcript has 2 exons.